Molecule: ribosomal RNA, 582 nt
Filed under: uncultured fungus
Lineage: Eukaryota; Fungi
Description: eukaryotic LSU rRNA
Rfam family: 5.8S ribosomal RNA (bases 204-357)
Source: RNAcentral
UCCGUAGGUGAACCUGCGGAAGGAUCAUUACAGUAGUCACCCAGGUUGCCGCAAGGCCUCCUGGGUAACCUACCACCCUUUGUUUAUUACACUUUGUUGCUUUGGCAAGCCUGCCCUCGGGCUGCUGGCUCCGGCCGGCGAGCGCUUGCCAGAGGACCUAAACUCUGUUUGUCUAUACUGUCUGAGUACUAUAUAAUAGUUAAAACUUUCAACAACGGAUCUCUUGGUUCUGGCAUCGAUGAAGAACGCAGCGAAAUGCGAUAAGUAAUGUGAAUUGCAGAAUUCAGUGAAUCAUCGAAUCUUUGAACGCACAUUGCGCCCCCUGGUAUUCCGGGGGGCAUGCCUGUCCGAGCGUCAUUAUCAACCAUCAAGCCUGGCUUGUCGUUGGACCUCUACCGUUGAAAUAUAUGGCAGAUCCGAAAGAUAAUGACGGCGUCGUGUUUUGACCCUAGAUGCAACGAGCUUUUUUAUAGCACGCAUUGAAGUGGUCGGCCGACCCGGUCUUUAACCAUCAUUUUCUAAGGUUGACCUCGGAUCAGGUAGGAAUACCCGCUGAACUUAAGCAUAUCAAUAAGCGGAGGA